CCUACGGGGUGCAGCAGUGAGGAAUAUUGGUCAAUGGACGAGAGUCUGAACCAGCCAAGUAGCGUGAAGGAUGACUGCCCUAUGGGUUGUAAACUUCUUUUAUAUGGGAAUAAAAUGUUCCACGUGUGGGAUUUUGUAUGUACCAUAUGAAUAAGGAUCGGCUAACUCCGUGCCAGCAGCCGCGGUAAUACGGAGGAUCCGAGCGUUAUACGGAUUUAUUGGGUUUAAAGGGAGCGUAGGUGGAUUGUUAAGUCAGUUGUGAAAGUUUGCGGCUCAACCGUAAAAUUGCAGUUGAAACUUGCAGUCUUGAGUACAGUAGAGGUGGGCGGAAUUCGUGGUGUAGCGGUGAAAUGCUUAGAUAUCACGAAGAACUCCGAUUGCGAAGGCAGUUCACUGGACUGCAACUGACACUGAGGCUCGAAAGUGUGGGUAUCAAACAGGAUUAGAUACCCCUGUAGUC
RNAcentral lists this ribosomal RNA (460 nucleotides) under uncultured bacterium. RNAcentral's name for it is "partial 16S ribosomal RNA". It matches the Rfam family "Bacterial small subunit ribosomal RNA", at positions 338 to 795 of the family's 1533-position model. The record is from RNAcentral.